GCGCCCGUAGCUCAGUUGGAUAGAGUGUUGGUUUCCGAAGCCAAAGGUCACAGGUUCGACUCCUGUCGGGCGCA
Molecule: transfer RNA, 74 nt
Filed under: Methylobacillus flagellatus KT
Lineage: Bacteria; Pseudomonadati; Pseudomonadota; Betaproteobacteria; Nitrosomonadales; Methylophilaceae
Also listed under: 2 other names
Rfam family: tRNA
About the family: Transfer RNA (tRNA) molecules are approximately 80 nucleotides in length. Their secondary structure includes four short double-helical elements and three loops (D, anti-codon, and T loops).
Source: Rfam by way of RNAcentral